CAAUCAACUUCUCUCAUAAAGCAAUGGUUAAAUAGAGUAGAAACUGGUGUUUCUCAUUCAUUUUAUAAUUAAAUCCCACCUGUUUCUAUCAUUUCUAGUGAGAUUGUUCUGGUCUCACCAGAAAGUCAGGAUACAGGGCAUUUGACACCAUUAAAUAUUCCCUCUCCCUUUUCUUUCCCUGUCCUUCACAAACCAUUUCAAAACCUUCCUAACAUUUCCAUCCUUCUGCAAACCCAAUUUACAACUGAAUUGAAAAGACCCCAUCCAAAAUAAAUCCCACAGUAUCAACACCACUAAUGCAUAUUCGUAACCAGUAAAUUGUGUGUGCUGGUGAACCGUAGGUCAAAAACACACCUGAACAAGGCCUCACUUAUCUGGAAGUCUGUUUAUGGCCUAAUCCAGAUACUUUUAUCCUGCUCUCCCCGAUAACACAGUCUCCGGGGACAUUCCAACGAGAGAUAAUGAAACCCCCUUUUCUGGAAAAGAAAUUGUACAUUUCGUUAGCAUUCACCAUGUUACAUUUUAAUCAGCAAGCCAAAAGUAUUAAUUAUAAACCAAACAUGCUAAUUGUUAAUCCACUGUCUUUACUCUCAUCAUUAAAUGUAUUAAUUAUAAACCACACAUGAUAAUUGUAAAUCCACUGUCUUUACUCUCAUCAUUAAAUGUAUUAAUUAUAAACCAAACAUGAUAAUUGUAAAUCCACUGUCUUUACUCUCAUCAUUAAAUGUAUUAAUUAUAAACCAAACAUGAUAAUUGUAAAUCCAAUGUCUUUACUCUCAUCAUUAAAUGUAUUAAUUAUAAACCAAACAUGAUAAUUGUAAAUCCACUGUCCUUACUCUCAUCAUUAAAUGUAUUAAUUAUAAACCAAACAUGAUAAUUGUAAAUCCACUGUCUUUACUCUCAUCAUUAAAUUUAUUAAUUAUAAACUAAACAUGAUAAUUGUAAAUCCACUGUCUUUACUCUCAUCAUUAAAUGUAUUAAUUAUAAACUAAACAUGAUAAUUGUAAAUCCACUGUCUUUACUCUCAUCAUUAAAUGUAUUAAUUAUAAACUAAACAUGAUAAUUGUAAAUCCACUGUCUUUACUCUCAUCAUUAAAUGUAUUAAUUAUAAACCAAACAUGAUAAUUGUAAAUCCACUGUCUUUACUCUCAUCAUUAAAUGUAUUAAUUAUAAACCAAACAUGAUAAUUG
This is a long non-coding RNA of Oncorhynchus tshawytscha (Chinook salmon), 1190 nucleotides long. Lineage: Eukaryota; Metazoa; Chordata; Actinopteri; Salmoniformes; Salmonidae. The record is from Ensembl.